UCAGAUUCUACAUUCAACAUUUAAGGCACAGUCUUGGUAAAUUGUGUCACACUAUAUUUUAUGUUAGUAAGAUCUUCACAAUUAAUGUCAAUAACAAUUCUAGGAUCUGCAAAUGAUGUCAUGUAUGAUAAAUCACAAAUUGUGCACACACAUUAACUUAUCUAACCUAAAAUAUAAACCUCACACAGAAUUUUUUUUUCAUGCCUACUCGAUAUAGAUGUAAUUUUAAAAAUUGUAAAGUUUCUUAAGAUGGAUUCCUUGGAAUAAACAUCAUUCUAAUGAUUUGUAUCAAUAAGACAAAAAUAAGUUUUGUCUAAUACAUGUACAUGCUCUGCUGGUUCCUGUUUUCAGUUUAAUACAUGACAUGCAGUUACUAUUUAUUCCUCGUACCCCAUGUGUAAAUGGUUGUUACAAAAAUGAAAUGAAUUGCUUUAUUAAUAGAUAUACAUAUAUGUGUAUACUUCAGUGUGAUAAUAACAGAACGGAACAAUUAAGAUUUGGUUACUAACACUUAACCAUAUUCUGAUUGUUAUCUUACUAUUAACAGGCAACCUAAAUAUAUUCCAGAUAAUUAUUUCAAUAAAUGAUGCAAGACAGCGCCGUUUUAUUCGAUUUCUCUAAUUUUGUUCAAGUGUUCAAUACAUUAUUGCUUUUUUCAUUUUAGUUUAUUGUACUCGAUUCGCAAUGUAAUUAGCAACACCUCAAAAUACCGAUCGGGCACGAAAUUCAUUUUGUAAAGCAAAUGUUGGGAAUGACUAGAUAUGUUCUAGAUAUUUUCUCAUCCACAAUUAGUAAGUGACGAUCAACACUGCAGAAAUUCAAGGCCCUCACUUUGAUUGAUUAUGAUACGUAUUUGAAUUGUAAUAGAUACUUAUAGACUCAUAGGCCAUUGUAAUAAAUGCAUAAAACAUGUACAUAAAACUCUUAAGGUAUUUAAUGUAUAAUGACCAUAUUUCAUAUCUAAUAAAUGGAUGGUGGAAUAUUUGUAAUCAUGGUAUCAUUUUGAAGGGUUCAUCAAAUAAAAAUAACCCACGGUAGGAAUUUUGAAAAUUUUGUUUACUGCUUGAUAUAUUUCACCUAGAAUUUAACAUUGAAGUAUAUGGGAAAAGCAUCUUUUAUUACAAUAUUUUAAAAACAAAUUAAUUAUUCAUACUAAUCUCUUGGUAGAAAGUUACAUAGUUUCUUUUUAUGAAAAUAUGAAAUAAAAUUAAUCAUUGACCACACACAUUUUUAAAAAAAUAAUUUUCCUUAUUUUUACAAAGGGCAGACAACUCUUCCAAAAAGCCUUAAGUGCAAAAACAAUACGAUAAUAAUCCACAACAAUGGACAUCUGCAAUUGUCACUGCAGUAAACUCAAGUGACCUAUUGUCAUCUGUCUUCAUGCGUCGUAGUAUGUCGUGGUGCGUCGUCCGAUGAAAAAUUUACAGUUGAGCUUCUUGAAAACUACAAGGCCAUAUCAUUUAUGAUGUGAAGCAUCUCUGGGAUAAGAGGAAUGUAAAUUGUUAAAGAAAAUCCAAAUGGAUGAUUAUAAUAUCCGCGAAGCUAUCCACCCGAAUUGUGACAUUUAUGGCUCCUGGGUCAGAGAUUCGGGCCAUAAGGCGGGGCUAAUAUGAGCAAACAUUGAACUGGAGUACAAGACAAUACGUGAAAUGUUGAAAGAAUUUGACCAGGUCUUCAAGAAAAUAGAAGAAAAUGACAUCAAAGUUCAGAAACCUUUAAUAGUUUUAGGAGCCCGAGUCGUGAUGACACUCUUAUCGAAAUAUUUGAGGCCAUUUGAGAGAACUUGACUAUCGUGCAAACAAUUACGUGAAAGGAACCACAUAGCAACCGCACUGCUCUAUAACAUGCUGGAAUGAUGAUCAAGAAUCUUGACUACAUUUCAAAACGAGACUGUGUGAUAAGACUUGCCAUUUGUAUAAUUAUUUUGGUAUGGAGAAGAGCCAUAUUCCCCAGCCAUUCAUUAGGGUACUUAUGAUGCCAAAAUGGACUUCUGACAGGAAACCGGAUGGACACUGUGGGCGAAAAGUCAACAUCUUUUAUGCAGAUAUUUGGAUAAUUAAAAGUGCUGUAGAGAUUCCAUUCUUUCUCAUUUCAAUUGCUAUUUUUUUAUUGAGAUUAUGUGAAAUGCACUAUGCUCAAUAUAAUUGUUAUCAGUAUAACUGCUGUAAAAUGUGUUGGAAAGUUUGUCUAUAUACAAAGAAUAAAGAUGACUUGGACAUACAAAAUUGAUGAAUUAAACACAUAGUA
Ostrea edulis (European flat oyster) is the source of this 2247-nucleotide long non-coding RNA. RefSeq lists it as uncharacterized. The record is from RefSeq and is a predicted model, not a curated record. Lineage: Eukaryota; Metazoa; Mollusca; Bivalvia; Ostreida; Ostreidae. The transcript has 6 exons.